This 5214-nucleotide long non-coding RNA is filed under the name Salmo salar (Atlantic salmon). RNAcentral's name for it is "lncRNA (ENSSSAG00000114470.1)". The record is from RNAcentral. Lineage: Eukaryota; Metazoa; Chordata; Actinopteri; Salmoniformes; Salmonidae.
CAGCGGUCUCAGGCACUGCAUCUUAGUGCUAGAGGCGUCACUACAGACCGUAGUUUGAUUCCAGGCUGUAUCACAACUGGCCGUGAUUGGGAGUCUCAUAGGGCGGUACACAAUUGGUCCAGUGUCGUCCGGGUUUGGCCCGGGGUGUGCUGUCAUUGUAAAUAAGAAUUUGUUCUUAACUGACUUGCCUAGUUAAAUACAUCAACACUACCGUUCAAAAGUUUGUGGUCACUUAGAAAUAUCCUUGUUUUUGAAAGAAAAGCAAUUUUUUUUGUCCAUUAAAAUAACAACAAAUUGAUCAGAAAUACAGUGUAGACAUUGUUAAUGUUGUAAAUGACUUGUCAUUUACACGUUGGGUUAGCAAAUCCAAGUUUAUCAUUUUAAAAGGCUAAUUGAUCAUUAGAAAACCCUUUUGCAAUUAUGUUAGCACAGCUGUAAACUGUUAUUCUGAUUAAAGAAGCAAUAAAACUGGCCUUCUUUAGACUUGUUGAGUAUCUGGAGCAUCAGCAUUUGUGGGUUGGAUCUAUUCUUGCUCUGAGAAAUUAAGUCUUUUCCAUGCGAGAAAUUGCCAAGAAACUAAAGUUCUGGUACAACGCUGUGUACUACUCCCUUCACACAACAGCGCAAACUGGCUCUAACCAGAAUAGAAAGAGGAGUGGGAGGCCCCGGUGCACAACUGAGCAAGAGGGAAAGUACAUUAGAGUGUCUAGUUUGAGAAACAGAUGCCUCACAAGUCCUCAACUGGCAGCUUCAUUAAAUAGUACCCACAAAACACCAGUCCCAACGUCAACAGUGAAGAGGCGACUCCGGGAUGCUGGCCUUCUAGGCAGAGUUCCUCUGUCCAGUGUCUUUUGCCCAUCUUAAUCUAUUCUGUUUAUUGGCCAGUCUGAGAUAUGGCUUUUUCUUUGCAACUCUGCCUAGAAGGCCAGCAUCCCGGAGUCGCCUCUUCACAUUGUUGGAUUACUUCAUGGAGCAAUUUUUUACAUUUAUUUAAACAACAGAGAAUUUUCUAUAUUCAAACAUACCCCCUGGAAAUGGACAUUUUAUGGUCAAACAUUGUCAGUGCUACACCAAACAGUGCCUAACCUGUAACUUCCAGUAUAAUAGAUAAAACAAAUUGGGGGGUAAAAUCACGUUAUCUAGUGUGACAGAUCGUAGCUAGGUUGUACAUUGACGCCACAUUCCUGUCCUCUCUCUUUUACAAAAGAAAACAUAAAAACAAAAGAAUAGAGACAUUUUGUUCAAUGUUGUUUAAAACCCAGUUUUAAAAUGACCGUAAAAAGCACAUUAAAACAUUUUCUAAUUUUAGUUACAAAAAUGGGUCAGCUAAAAGUCUUACCAAUGCAUCUCAGAAGGAUCUGAACAGAGGAUCUCUAACCCAUAAGGAUUUAUCUUCAAAUUCCCAACCCAAAAAUAUAUCAACUUAAAUGUUUAACCAAGGUAUAUUCAGAGCAUAGAAUCCUCAGAUCUUAAUGGUUAUCAAGAAAGUUUAAGGUAUAUGACCCCCUCCCCCCAAAAAAUAAGAAAAAGACAAAAAUGAAAACAAAAUGAAAAUCACAAAUAGACUUAAAUAAAAAGUAGAACGAAUGCCAUGAUUGCUUAAUACAAGCACAGUAUCACAACAUUAGUGGAAUAUGUUGCUAUAUGUGAGCUGGUGAGUCUUAGUCAUUUUACCUAAGGUCUCAAAAGGUAAACCUGCAAUAACAUAUAUCUUAGGAUGGUAUAUAUAUAUAUACACACACUAGAAAUAGGGAGUCGUUUGAAUGCUAAUUUUAUUUGCUUCUUAACUGGUAUCAGGUAACAGUUAACACAGGAUGUAUUUAUUGACAAAAUAUAAUAAUUAUUGAAUUCUGACAGUCUGUCUUUACACACACACACACACACUACCAGUCAAAAGUUUUAGAACAGCUACUCAUUCAAGGGUUUUUCUUUAUUUUACUAUUUUCUACAUUGUAGAAAAAUAGUGAAGAUAUAAAAACGAUGAAAUAACAUAUGGAAUCAUGUAGUAAGCAAAAAAAGUGUUAAACAAAUCAAAAUAGAUUUUAUAUUCUUCAAAGUAGCCACGCUUUGCCUUGAUGACAGCUUUGAACAAUCUUGGCAUUCUCUCAACCAGCUUCAUGAUGUAGUCACCUGGAAUGCAUUUCAAUUAACAGGUGUGCCUUGUUAAAAGUUAAUUUGUGGAAUUUCUUUCCUUCUUAAUGUGUUUGAGCCAAUCAGUUGUGUUGUGACAAGGUAGGGUUGUUAGUCCUAUUUGGUAAAAGACCAAAUCCAUAUUAUGGCAAGAACAGCUCAAAUAAGCAAAGAGAAAUGACAGUCCAUCAUUACUUUAAGACAUGAAGGUCAGCUAAUCCAGAAAAGGGCAGUCGCAAAAACCAUCAAGCGCUAUGAUGAAACUGGCUCUCAUGAGGAUCGCCACAGGAAAGGAAGACCCAGAGUUAUCUCAGCUGCAGAGGAUAAGUUCAUUAGAGUUACCCGCCUCAGAUUGCAGCCCAAAUAAACGCUGCACAGAGUUCAAGUAACAGACACAUCUCAACAUCAACUGUUCAGAUGAGAAUGCGUGAUUCAGGCCUUCAAGGCCGAAUUGCUGCAAAGAAACCACUACUUAAGGACACCAAUAAUAAGAAGCGACUUGAUUGAGCCAAGAAAUACGAGUAAUGGGCAUUAGACAGGUGGAAAUCUGUCCUUUGAUCUGAUGAGUCCAAAUUUGCACAUUUUGGUUACAACCACCAUGUCUUUGUGAAGCACAGGUGUGAAUGUGUUGGGGUGCUUUGUUGGUGACACUGUCAGUGAUUUAUUUAGAAUUCAAGGCUCACUUAACCAGCAUGGCUACCACAUCAUUCUGCAGCGAUACGCCAUCACAUCUGGUUUGCGCUUAGUGGGACUAUGAUUACAUUUUCAACAGGACAAAUGACCCAAAACACACCUCCAGGCUGUGUAAUGGCUAUUUGACCCAGGAGAGUGAUGCAGUGCUGCAUCAGAUGACCUGACUUCCACAAGCAUAUGACCUCAACCCAAUCGAGAUGGUAUGGGAUGAGUUGGACAGCAGAGUGAAGGAAAAGCAGCCGACAAGUGCUCAGCAUAUGUGGGAACUCCUUCAAGACUGUUGAAAAAACAUUCCAGGUGAAGCUGGUUGAGAGAAUGCCAAGAGUGUGCAAAGCUGCCAUCAAGACAAAGGGUGGCUACUUUGUAGAAUCUCAAAUAUAAAAUAGAUUUUGAUUUGUUUAACACUUUUUUGGUUACUACAUGAUUCUAUAUGUGUUAUUUCACAGUUUUGAUGUCUUCACUAUUAUUCUACAAUGUAGAAAAUAGUAAAAUAAAGAAAAACGCUUGAAUGAGUCGGUGUGUCCAAACUUUUGACUGGUACUGUGUAUAUAUAUAUUUUUUUGUUACCAAGAUUAAGAGCCAGAUGCGAUUCUGAUACACACGCAGGUUUUGAAAGUGGAUUCAGAAAUAACAGUAUUGUAAAAAAACUAUAGUUGAAGUUUAUUCAUUUUCAAAAAGCACCUUUUUUAGCACCACUUAAUUUUUGUGUGUUUUGAACAAGCACGGUUGUGGUAUUUAAUUUUGUACAGCACCUGUAGAAUCCAAAAAAAGAGGUCUCUCUCCUCUCUCGCCUCUCGACCUCCCUCAUUUUUCUCCUGUUCACCUUUCUCUGCAACACCUUCAAAUGUCCUUCGUCUUUGCACCACAACAGGUUUAAGUCAUGUGAUUCUAGCCCUACAAGGGCAAGAAGUCUUGUCCUGGUAAAACAUACAUACACGGCAAGACCUGUUCGCUACAUAAUUUUUUUAUUCAAAACUUGCAUGUGGUAUGGAAACAGGUGAGGGGGCUGGGUACUGGGGUUAGGUGGUAUGGAAACAGGUGAAGGGGCUGGGUACUGGGGUUAGGUGGUAUGGAAACAGGUGAGGGGGCUGGGUACUGGGGUUAGGUGGUAUGGAAACAGGUGAAGGGGCUGGGUACUGGGGUUAGGUGGUAUGGAAACAGGUGAGGGGGCUGGGUACUGGGGUUAGGUGGUAUGGAAACAGGUGAAGGGGCUGGGUACUGGGGUUAGGUGGUAUGGAAACAGGUGAGGGGGCUGGGUACUGGGGUUAGGUGGUAUGGAAACAGGUGAGGGGGCUGGGUACUGGGGUUAGGUGGUAUGGAAACAGGUGAGGGGGCUGGGUACUGGGGUUAGGUGGUAUGGAAACAGGUGAGGGGGGCUGGGUACUGGGGUUAGGUGGUAUGGAAACAGGUGAGGGGGCUGGGUACUGGGGUUAGGUGGUAUGGAAACAGGUGAGGGGGCUGGGUACUGGGGUUAGGUGGUAUGGAAACAGGUGAGGGGGCUGGGUACUGGGGUUAGGGGGUAUGGAAACAGGUGAGGGGGCUGGGUACUGGGGUUAGGUGGUAUGGAAACAGGUGAGGGGGCUGGGUACUGGGGUUAGGUGGUAUGGAAACAGGUGAAGGGGCUGGGUGCUGGGGUUAGGUGGUAUGGAAACAGGUGAGGGGGCUGGGUACUGGGGUUAGGUGGUAUGGAAACAGGUGAGGGGGCUGGGUACUGGGGUUAGGGGGUAUGGAAACAGGUGAGGGGGCUGGGUACUGGGGUUAGGUGGUAUGGAAACAGGUGAAGGGGCUGGGUACUGGGGUUAGGUGGUAUGGAAACAGGUGAGGGGGCUGGGUACUGGGGUUAGGUGGUAUGGAAACAGGUGAGGGGGCUGGGUACUGGGGUUAGGUGGUAUGGAAACAGGUGAGGGGGCUGGGUACUGGGGUUAGGGGGUAUGGAAACAGGUGAAGGGGCUGGGUACUGGGGUUAGGUGGUAUGGAAACAGGUGAGGGGGCUGGGUACUGGGAUUAGGUGGUAUGGAAACAGGUGGGGGGACUGGGUUGGGGAGUCUGGUUGCUGGGUUGGGGGGGGUUGGUUGCUUGGCUGGGUUGGGUUGGGGUUGGUUGCUGGGCUGGGCUGGGGGUUUGGUUGCAGGGUUGGGUUGGGCGGUUUGGUUGCUGGGCUGGGUUGGGGAGGUUUGGUUGCUGGGCUGGGUUGGGUUGGGGGGUUUGGUUGCUGGGUUGGGGGGUUUGGUUGCUGGGUUGGGUUGGGGGUUUGGUUGCUGGGCUGGGUUGGUUGCUGGGCUGUGGGGGCUGGGUUGGGGGGUUGGUUGCUGGGUUGGGGCUUUUGGUUGCAGGGCUGGGGGGGCUGGGUUGGGGGGUUUGGUUGCUGGGCUGGGGGGUUUGGUUGCUGGG